This is a microRNA precursor of Sorghum bicolor (sorghum), 200 nucleotides long. It matches the Rfam family "MIR1435 microRNA precursor family". NCBI's taxonomy places the organism in Eukaryota, Viridiplantae, Streptophyta, Magnoliopsida, Poales, Poaceae. The record is from Rfam.
UAGUUUCGUCCUAAGUCAAACUUCUCUAAUUUUGAUCAAUGUUAUACAAAAAUAUAUUAGCAUAUACAAUACUAAAUAAAAGCAUUAUCAAGACAUAUUUCAUGGUAGAUGUAAUGAAAUAAUUUGAUGUUUCAGAUGUUGGUGCAUUUUUCUAUAAACUUGGUCAAAGUUAGAGAAGUUUGACUUUAGAACAAAGCUAA